RNAcentral lists this ribosomal RNA (447 nucleotides) under uncultured bacterium. Its description in RNAcentral is "bacterial SSU rRNA". It matches the Rfam family "Bacterial small subunit ribosomal RNA", at positions 355 to 825 of the family's 1533-position model. The record is from RNAcentral.
UCGGGAAUUUUGGGCAAUGGGCGAAAGCCUGACCCAGCAACGCCGCGUGAAGGAUGAAGUAUUUCGGUAUGUAAACUUCGAAAGAAUAGGAAGAAUAAAUGACGGUACUAUUUAUAAGGUCCGGCUAACUACGUGCCAGCAGCCGCGGUAAUACGUAGGGACCAAGCGUUGUUCGGAUUUACUGGGCGUAAAGGGCGCGUAGGCGGUGUGUCAAGUCAGUUGUGAAAUCUCCGAGCUUAACUCGGAACGGUCAACUGAUACUGUCACACUAGAGUACAGAAGGGGCAAUCGGAAUUCUUGGUGUAGCGGUGAAAUGCGUAGAUAUCAAGAGGAACACCUGAGGCGAAGGCGACUUUCUGGCUCGACACAGACACUAAGGCGCGAAAGCGUGGGGAGCAAACAGGAUUAGAUACCCCUGUAGUCCCUGAGCGGGCUGGCAAGGCGCAU